This 492-nucleotide ribosomal RNA is filed under the name uncultured bacterium. RNAcentral's name for it is "partial 16S ribosomal RNA". It matches the Rfam family "Bacterial small subunit ribosomal RNA", at positions 29 to 507 of the family's 1533-position model. The record is from RNAcentral.
AGUGAACGCUGGCGGUAGGCCUAACACAUGCAAGUCGAACGGCAGCACAGUAAGAGUUUUCUCUUACGGGUGGCGAGUGGCGGACGGGUGAGGAAUACAUCGGAAUCUACUUUUUCGUGGGGGAUAACGUAGGGAAACUGACGCUAAUACCUCAUACGACCUACGGCUUAAAUCAGUGGAUCUUCGGACCUUUCGCGUCAGUAUGAGCUGAUGUCGCAUUAGCUAGUUGGCGUGGUAAAGGCCCACCAAGGCGACGAUCCGUAGCUGAUCUGAGAGGAUGAUCGGCCACACUGGAACUGAGACACGGUCCAGACUCCUACGGGAGGCAGCAGUAGGGAAUAUUCGACAAUGGGCGCAAGCCUGACCGAGCAAUGCCGCGUGAGUGAAGAAGGCCUUCGGAUUGUAAAGCCCUUUUAUUGGGAAAGAAAAAAAGCAUGUUAAUACACGGAUGUCCUGACGGUACCCAAAGAGAAAGCACCGGCUAACUUCGUG